Molecule: long non-coding RNA, 5345 nt
Organism: Diachasmimorpha longicaudata
Lineage: Eukaryota; Metazoa; Arthropoda; Insecta; Hymenoptera; Braconidae
Exons: 5
Source: RefSeq, a predicted model, not a curated record
GGGACAUGUGAAAUGUGGGAUUUUUAUUGUUGAUUUUGGGGGAAUCGACGAUGGAAUCAAAUCGAUGGGAGGAUUGAGAGGUUUUCGUCUUGAUGGAUGAUGGUGCGUGAUAUGAAUUCAUUAUUUUUGUCAUUGUUCAUUGAUUAUUUAUGAUAUAUUUUGACCAUAUGACAGAGACUCUCCUGUAGUUGCAUCUGGUUUUGCUGGGGUUGGGGUGACUCCAGGAGUCGAUCUGAUUAAUCUCGCAGUCGAGUUUUUGGGGAAUAUCUUCGAAUCUAAGGGAGAUGGCGGAAUUUAUGUAAUGACCUUAAUUGUAGAACUCAAUUAACUCCACAAAAAAGGUCCUGAUGAAAAUACCGCUAUCUCCUGUCGAUUCCGAGUUAUUCGCGAAAAACUGAUCGAUAUUAUUGUAGUUGUCUGACGAGUGACGUGGGUUUUCCACUGGAAUUUUGCAUUCACGUGACGUAAACCGUUUUACCCCUUUCCUAAUAACCUGAUCAAUCCAUCAUCCAUCUGACCUUCAAUCUCAAUCACGUACCACCGAUAAUGCCACGACAUCGUCGUGAUUCUCACCCUCAAAAUAUAGGAGACGAGGCUCGCCGAUGGGAGGGAAGAAAUAAUCGAAUAAGGGUUGGGGAACCAACGCCGGAUAAUACUUAUAAUUCCCGGCCAAGGUGAGGAUAAAAGGUCUCGCCCCCGGCACAACCAAGUGAGAGAGGCCUCCCGAUGAAAUAAACCAACUCUCCUCCCUCACCCUCUUUCACCCCCGAAUGAAAAUAGCGACAAAAGGACGGGGAAAAAAAAAAGUAAAAAGGGAGAAUACGAAGAAUCGGCAAAGUUUGAGACUCAAACUCAUCCGGAGGCCGACGGAGAAAUAAAGGGGGAGGGAAUAGAGACGAAAAAGUAGAAUGAGGAGGUGAGGGGUGAAAGGGAUUUCACAUCGCCACCCUUUGGUUGCUAGGUAACCGCGUGCCUUGGACUCAUCCCCCCCUCAUUCCCCCGGAGAUGUCACUACCCAGAAAACGGGAACGACCUUUUGACAUUUCAAGGAUUCUCCUGCACCCUCUGCCCUCACCCUCUCGACCCUCUUCCCACAAUUUUUUUUUUAUCAUUCUCUUUUACGUGCCCUUCAGGUCCUUUCUGCAUCCACUUCAUUCUGAUGGUGGGCUCAUCCUUGUUUACCCCAAUGCCACUUUCAACCCUUCAAUUUAUUCCAUUUUUUUAUAAUAAAGGAUUUUUUUUCUUAUCAUUGGGGAGCAGAGUGAUACGAAUAGAAAUUUCCGAGGAAAAUUCCUGACUUCAUUACCGUAAUUUUGGCGGAAUAUUUUUCAUCGUGGAUUAUAAUAGAAAAUAAAUUUUCCGAUGAAAUAAAUAUUCAAAUUUGUACAUUUCAAUUUUCUUUUCUCACACGUCAAUUUUUCCUGACUCCAUUUUUUUUUAAUGACGACGAGUCGACGUGAAGUUGCACCGAGAAUACCUCCACUGUAAAUUCCCCUCGCAGAUUACAACCACGCGAGGGGGAUGCAAGGAAGAAUCUACGUAGGGUAUGAAAUCGCCGUGCAGUGGAUAAGAGGGGAUGAAAAUUCCCCUCGGGAGUCUAAGGGGAAUUGAGAGCGGUGAGGUGGGUACGAGGGUGGAGAAUCAAAGAAGGUGAGUGGAGAGAGAUAGCGAGUAACAUCGAGGGAAAAAGGGAUUGCUGAGAACUUGAGCCAAGGGGGUUGAUUAUGAAGAUUAAAGAUACCAACUCUCUCCGCUGAGUUCUCUCCACUCAACUCGCAACUCUCUGCUCUGAAAGGCUCUUCCUGGUUUUUUUUUUCAUCUCCUACGAGACCCUCUCAAACCGCCACCCCCUUUUUUCCACACCACCUGCGAAAUUAUUGACUGAACAUUUUGCGUUAUAUAUUGAGGUAUGCGAAGUGAACAAUCGUGCUGUAAUUAAAUUUAUUAUCAGAACGGAAUAAAUAUAUUUUCUACAGUUCAGUCGAUUAAUAAAAAAAUAUUAUGUUAUAAUAAUAAUUUUAUUUUCUUUAGUACAAAAAUCUCUCUCUGUACAUCGCAAUGACACCCUAAGGGCGCCAUUAAAUAACGAUUUAGAAUAUUAAUAUUAAAUGUUUUCUCUGCGAAAUUGUGAGGGAAUUUCGAGAUAUUCAUUAAAAAUAGUUAAAAAUUGUUUGUAAAAAACUUUUUAAAAAACAUCCCUCACAAUUGUAAACCUCCCCUUUCAACUAUUUUCUAUUUUUUAUUUGUUUCAUUAUAUUUUAACAUAACUUAUCACAUGGUACAUAGCUGCAUAAACCUGCAGGUUUAUGUAAGUUUAAAUAACAAUAAUAAAAAACUGUUGAAUAGUCGAAAGGGACUUCCCUCGAAAGUCCUGGCAGCGAUACAACUUCGAUGGCUCGUCAAGAGGGGGCGAAGGACUGAAACAACUUGCUUUGUCGAUAGGGGAAAGGCCGAUGGGCGGAAGGGGAUGGGGGGGUGUUGGAUGGGAGUGGAAAGUGCCCCGGCCGAUUGAGCAGGUGUUCUUUCAUUCUUCUUUCGGCUCGAACAAAGAACCCCGAACCCAAAGGGUGAUCUUUUUGUUUUUCCUCAGAAGGAACCAGACUUCAAUAACGCACUAACACGCGUUCACCAAAAUCCCAGAGAAUCGCAAAAUUAAGAAAAAUAAAAUGAUUUUGAAUGACCAACUCUCUGAUUAUUCGCAAUUUAAUUCUGAUAAAUGUCUUGUUGGAGACACCACCACUGCCACAAAUUUCGGGGAAUCUCCAUCUAGAGUCACCUCAGAUUGAGGAUUACCAGUAUCACAUUCCCCCGGAAUUUACAUGUCUCUGACCGGCGAUGAUGGUGACAAAUAUCUUCUGAUUAUCCCACCCAAUCAUGAUUUACUCACCCGAAAAACACGUUCGGAGAGAAUCGGAUAAUCUCGCCACUCGUUAAUUUGAUACCUGGCAAAAGAAGACGGGUCGUGAGUCCUCGUUGACAAAAAAAAUUCCAAAAUUUCCGACCGAAUUUCCUGCGAAUAUCAUGUGAAUGUCAGCGGAGGGGAAAUCAUGCCCAAAGGUAUAAUGGUAUUUUCGGUGGGGCCCUGAGACGGCUGAGACGACGAGCACCUUGCCCCGUCCUCUCGCCGGAAGCUGGACAGGAGAGAGCGGAGGGAGAUGUGGUCUGGCCGCAUUUACCGGCAGAUGGCCGGCAGAUGUCCAGCAUCGUUGCCCUGAUUGCAACUUCUCCAUCGAGAGGUAUCAUCAUGCAUCGGUCUCACAUUCAGCGGGGCCAAUAAUCUAUUGGUCAUUGAACCAAUCCCGUCCGGAGUUAAAUCACCCAUAUUACCCCGUCAUUAUUUAAUUACUCAAUUUUUACCUUAACUUCUCUAAAACUAUUCAAACCACAACCCAAAUGAAUUAUUCGAUACCUAUUUUUCUUUCCGCACGCCUCAUGUGCGCAAAAUUCCACUUUCCGCACGUCGUGUGGAAAAACUGAUUUUCCGCACGCCUCGAACUCUACAAUUUUUUACAUUUUCUUUCGUGUUAAUGGAGUAUAAAUUAUAAUUUCUCCAAUAUCAUUGUUACGAAUUAUUUCGAUGUCCUGAUUUGGACGGUUUCAUGGCAUCAUCACCGAGCCAUUACUGACGAUCAUCGAAUUGACGGAAAAACGGGACUGGCAAUAUUGACUCCUCCGAAUCCAUAAUGCGAAGGCCAACCCUGAUAAUGUAUUCGCCCAUCACCACUCACCACUGGCGACGUCGUGUCGCACACUGUGAAAUACCUAGACGUACGGCUGCUGUCGACAUCCAGCAAAUGAGCAUCACAUGCCAAGAGAAAAAAGAAAGGAGGCUGAAAAAAAAACGCUGCGUUACGCGCCUUUUUACACUGCCGCCUCCUGGGGUGAGGAUUAAGGUACUUCCACAGUAAAACCGAAGACCAAAUAAGUGAAGGUAUAUCUUUCUGGAAAAAUCUGGAUGUCUGGAAAAAUUAAUGCUGAACAUGACACUCUGCCCUUUCGGAAGAGUCUGGAUAAUGUUUUCCAGAUAGUGGCUCGCAUGUACGUUGUUCCCGGUGAUUAUAAAAAAAAUCAAUCAUUAGCGAGGGGCGCAAAUCAGGAGGGAAAAAAAUUCACCUCCAUUGUUUCAUCGCACAUGCUCACGCACAACGAAAUCCACAGCUUGAUGAUGAAAUGAAGGCAUUGCAGUCUCAUGUAUAAGUCUGUAAGCCGCGAAAGAGGCGUCACUGGACAAUGACGGGCUGGUGGUGUGCAACUGAAGAGCUUCGUGGAGUUUUUACGAGGUAUGCUUUAUGGAAGUUUGCCAGCUGUGACCACGAUAAACGAUCCCGCUCUUAUAGGUGGAAGUUUGGUGGAAGCUGUUAAAUGGGUCUUCGUACCGCAUGGAAACAUUGGAAUUGAGGAAGAAUUUCAUCCAAAAUUUGGUUUAAUGAAGACUCCGAAAGAGAUCACCCUUUUAUGACAUCAUUCUGAAGUCAUUGACGAAUGAUAACGGUCUAGAAUAUUGUGGAGAGGCGGAAUAAAUAGCCCAUGAAAAAAUAGACCAGGGAAAUGCCCCAGAUUUGGGUGAUUGCGUUAUUGUCGAAUAUGUGGACAUACAGCAGUGUCAGUAUGACAGGUGUAAACGUAACUGAAUUAUGCUGACCAAGUGAUGAAAUAUAAACAAUCAAUGUAUUAUUGAAAAGACUCCGAGGCACGUAAAGUCUCGGAGGGGCGCUUAUUGUACAAUACCGAAUGGUUCUAUUUCCUUUAAACUCGGGGUCACCCAGCGACCUUUCAACGCUUCCCCGCGCAUAUCCCAGAGGCUGUGGUCGGCGCAAAAGAAACAUCCGCUCGCUUAAAAUCUCUCGACCAGUACUACCAACAUUUCCAGUCUCCGGGGGAGGGGGUAAGUUGCAUAAUAGGUGAGAAAAAGUAGCGGACUGAGGUACAAGAAUUCCUCGUGCAUAAUCGAGCUUUCGCGUCACCACGGAUCGCUGGCCCUCCGGUAAAAGUCUGUAGGCGCGUUAUCUUCGAGAAUAGACAAAUGUUUUCUACUCCAGUCAUAGACAAGAGUUAUUAAAUCAGGGAACGAGGUCUUUGAAAAUAUCUGGCGAAGUAAAUAUUGAAGGAUUAAAAAUUUUCACUUUGUGGGGAAUAUUUUGACAUUAGCUCGGAAAAGCGACACAACAUGUGGACAACCCAAUAGACAAAAGGGCCUGGCCUUUCGGUCAGACCUCCCACCCUGGACGAAGCAAGGGGUAGGGACACUCUCGAACGGUCUCUCGAGUAAACCACAUCGGAUUAUCAACUCAGCUAUAAUUAUAUCAAGUCUUUCACUAAAACGCAUAUGUUAAAAACCGAAUAAA